AACGAACGCUGGCGGCAUGCCUAACACAUGCAAGUCGAACGAGACCUUCGGGUCUAGUGGCGCACGGGUGCGUAACGCGUGGGAACCUGCCCUUAGGUUCGGAAUAACUCCCCGAAAGGGGUGCUAAUACCGGAUAAUGUCUUCGGACCAAAGAUUUAUUGCCUUUGGAUGGGCCCGCGUUGGAUUAGCUAGUUGGUAGGGUAAAAGCCUACCAAGGCGACGAUCCAGAGCUGGUGUGGGAGGAUGACAAGCCACGCUGGGGCUGAGACACGGCCCAGACUCCGACGGGAGGGAGCAGUGGGGAAUAUUGGACGAUGGGCGAAGGCCUGAUCCAGCAAUGCCGGGUAAGUGAUGAAGGCCUUAGGGUUGUAAAGCUCUUUUACCCGGGAUGAUAAUGACAGUACCGGGAAAAUAAGCUCCGGCUAACUCCGUG
RNAcentral lists this ribosomal RNA (433 nucleotides) under uncultured bacterium. RNAcentral describes it as "partial 16S ribosomal RNA". It matches the Rfam family "Bacterial small subunit ribosomal RNA", at positions 29 to 507 of the family's 1533-position model. The record is from RNAcentral.